CCUCCCCCACCGCCUCCUCCUUAACGGUAUCAGAGUCUUGAUUUGACCUCGGUAAAUUUCUCCUUCGGCGGACACUGAACUAAAAAGGAAAAUUAUUGGCUUAGGGCAUACGUGUUUCGUAUGGCUAAUAUUUCAACAAUUUGCUUUUCAAUGGUCUUUUCGGGAUUUGCCUUUUUGACAAGCGUUUGAAAGUAUAGUGUCAUUUGAGUAACGCAGAUGUCGUAAAUUAGCAAUUAUGCCUUUCCUUUAAAACAUAGAACUGAGCUUCCUAAUCCUAAAGAUGUGAAGAGAUGCUUUAUAAAUCCAGCAUUUACAUAUUAAAUCCGUUUGUAAAAGUAAAUGAAGAGCCCUAAAGGCCUGUGAGGUGUGAUCCCUUCAGACUACCAGGCUCCAACUCAGGGCUGGACUUGAUGGAAAAAGAAGUUUAUAAACAAGCAACCCAAUUUCUCCAAAUUAUUCGAGGAGCUGCCUAGAAGUCAAGCAACAGAACCCAGCAAAGUUUUGCUUGCGAUUUACAACGAUGUUGUUGAAAUCUGGGAGGUGAACAAUUAGAAGACGACAGCCAAAAUAUGCUCUCUUGCCCUACGCUGAUAGCUGGUUAUGCAAUUGGCUGAUCAGCGUUUUGCAGCCGUCCCCAGAUCGUUGUUCAAAGUCAUUUUGUGGUUAAAAUAAAAACUACAUUCAACAGACA
This 691-nucleotide long non-coding RNA is filed under the name Equus asinus (donkey). Its description in RNAcentral is "lncRNA (ENSEASG00005026134.1)". The record is from RNAcentral. Lineage: Eukaryota; Metazoa; Chordata; Mammalia; Perissodactyla; Equidae.